GGGCGAGUGGCGGAAUGGUAUACGCGACGGACUUAAAAUCCGUUGGGAGUUAAUCCCGUGAGGGUUCGAGUCCCUCCUCGCCCACCA
RNAcentral lists this transfer RNA (87 nucleotides) under Candidatus Nomurabacteria bacterium. RNAcentral describes it as "tRNA-Leu". It matches the Rfam family "tRNA". From Rfam's summary of the family: Transfer RNA (tRNA) molecules are approximately 80 nucleotides in length. Their secondary structure includes four short double-helical elements and three loops (D, anti-codon, and T loops). The record is from RNAcentral. RNAcentral also lists the same sequence under 1 other name. Lineage: Bacteria; Candidatus Nomuraibacteriota.